CGUAGGGGGCAAGCGUUGUCCGGAUUUAUUGGGCGUAAAGAGCGUGUAGGCGGCCAGGUAGGUCAGCUGUGAAAACUCGAGGCUCAACCUCGAGAUGUCGGCUGAAACCAUCCGGCUAGAGUCCGGAAGAGGAGAAUGGAAUUCCCGGUGUAGCGGUGAAAUGCGCAGAUAUCGGGAAGAACACCCGUGGCGAAGGCGGUUCUCUGGGACGGUACUGACGCUGAGACGCGAAAGCGUGGGGAGCGAACAGGAUUAGAUACCCUGGUAGUCCACGCCGUAAACGAUGGGAACUAGGUGUGGGCGGUGUCGACUCCGUCCGUGCCGAAGCUAACGCAUUAAGUUCCCCGCCUGGGGAGUACGGCCGCAAGGCUA
This 372-nucleotide ribosomal RNA is filed under the name uncultured organism. RNAcentral's name for it is "bacterial SSU rRNA". It matches the Rfam family "Bacterial small subunit ribosomal RNA", at positions 526 to 896 of the family's 1533-position model. The record is from RNAcentral.